This 231-nucleotide ribosomal RNA is filed under the name uncultured bacterium. Its description in RNAcentral is "partial 16S ribosomal RNA". It matches the Rfam family "Bacterial small subunit ribosomal RNA", at positions 103 to 334 of the family's 1533-position model. The record is from RNAcentral.
CGGGUGAGUAACACGUAUCCAACCUGCCAUCUACUCUUGGACAGCCUUCUGAAAGGAAGAUUAAUACAAGAUGGCAUCAUGAGUCCGCAUGUUCACAUGAUUAAAGGUAUUCCGGUAGACGAUGGGGAUGCGUUCCAUUAGAUAGUAGGCGGGGUAACGGCCCACCUAGUCUUCGAUGGAUAGGGGUUCUGAGAGGAAGGUCCCCCACAUUGGAACUGAGACACGGUCCAA